GACGAACGCUGGCGGCGUGCUUAACACAUGCAAGUCGAACGGACAGGCCCUGCUUUUGUGGGGUGCUCGAGUGGCGACCGGGUGAGUUACACGUGAGUAACCUGUACCUGACUUUGGGUUAACCUAAGGCAACUGGGGCUCAUACCGGAUAGGAGCUCCUGCCGUUUGGUGGGGGUUGGACAGUUUCGGCGGUUGGGGAUGGACUUGCGGCUUAUCAGCUUGUUGGUGGGGUAGUGGAUUACCAAGGCUUUGACAGGUUGCCGGUCUGAGAGGGUAGCCGGCCACAUUGGGUCUGAGAUACGGCCCGGACUCCUACGGGAGGCAGCAGUGGGGAAUAGUGCACUAUGGGCGGAAGGCUAGUGCAGCAACGCCACGUGGGGGAUGACAGCCAUCGGGUUGUAAACCGCUUUCGCCUGUGACGAAGCGAUAGUGACGGUAAUGGGUAAAGAAGCACCGGCUAACUACGUG
Molecule: ribosomal RNA, 468 nt
Filed under: uncultured bacterium
Lineage: Bacteria
Description: partial 16S ribosomal RNA
Rfam family: Bacterial small subunit ribosomal RNA
Source: RNAcentral